GUGAGUGGAAUGAAUAGGGACCGCCAGCAGAGUUAAUGAGACAUGCUGUUGCACGGGCCGGGAAUAAUCAGUUAAAAGUGUUCAAAACACAUAAAUAUCUGUUUUAUUGUGAAUUUACCUUGUAAUGAACAUGUUAGGGAUCUGCUGGAUUGAUGAAUUCCUUGUGCUACGAACUCCUUAUUUCCACUUUAUGCGUCUCCAUUGUGCAGACCUAAACCUACUCACACAUGACGCUGAGGCUGACAGCAGGAGAGGGCAGAUGUUCUUGUCCUCUGACGGCACAGCUGUAACUGCCAGAAUCACUGCGGACUGACUGAAGCUGCAGGAUGUCGCUGUGGAAGUUUAAAGCCUGCCCAUUUUUGUACCAGAUGAAUCUGUCUGUCAGAUCGCAAGUAGUUCUACAUGUCAGAUUGACCGUUUCUUUCUCCAGCACCUGCUGUGGAGCCUGAACCUGAAGGGCUGGAGGACACAAAUCCUUCUAACCAUGUCCUAAAACUACUAACUUUUUGUUAAAUAAAUAAAUAAUGGAAAUGAAGGACAGAAGUGGAUUACCUGAAACUUUAAGUUGAAUUCCUAGUUGAUCAAACCAUCUUUGUCCUUCAGUUGCAGUUAUUAAUUUGAAACAAUACUCUAUCUCAUCAUUUUCAGUGACGUUGUGCAGUCUGAGAGCAGCAGUUUUGUUUUGUCUGUAUUCAAUGUAUUCAACCCUGUCUUUAUACUCCUGAUAUUCUUUUAAACUUUUGAUCUUUUCAUCUGGUUUCUUGAUCCAAAAGGUUUCUGUCAGUAGAUACUGCUGAGGGUAUGUGUAUGUGCAUGACAUGUUUACUGUGGAUCCUUUGAGAGCACAUAUUGAAUUAGUUUCAUAAGUCACAUUCCAGUCUUCUCCAAAAGCUCCUGAAACACAAAAUACAUGAAGAUAAAUGGUCAA
Molecule: long non-coding RNA, 928 nt
Organism: Ctenopharyngodon idella (grass carp)
Lineage: Eukaryota; Metazoa; Chordata; Actinopteri; Cypriniformes; Xenocyprididae
Exons: 3
Source: RefSeq, a predicted model, not a curated record